This 497-nucleotide ribosomal RNA is filed under the name uncultured bacterium. RNAcentral describes it as "partial 16S ribosomal RNA". It matches the Rfam family "Bacterial small subunit ribosomal RNA", at positions 28 to 507 of the family's 1533-position model. The record is from RNAcentral.
GAUGAACGCUGGCGGCGUGCCUAAUACAUGCAAGUCGAGCGAACGGACGAGAAGCUUGCUUCUCUGAUGUUAGCGGCGGACGGGUGAGUAACACGUGGAUAACCUACCUAUAAGACUGGGAUAACUUCGGGAAACCGGAGCUAAUACCGGAUAAUAUUUUGAACCGCAUGGUUCAAAAGUGAAAGACGGUCUUGCUGUCACUUAUAGAUGGAUCCGCGCUGCAUUAGCUAGUUGGUAAGGUAACGGCUUACCAAGGCAACGAUGCAUAGCCGACCUGAGAGGGUGAUCGGCACCACUGGAACUGAGACACGGUCCAGACUCCUACGGGAGGCAGCAGUAGGGAAUCUUCCGCAAUGGGCGAAAGCCUGACGGAGCAACGCCGCGUGAGUGAUGAAGGUCUUCGGAUCGUAAAACUCUGUUAUUAGGGAAGAACAUAUGUGUAAGUAACUGUGCACAUCUUGACGGUACCUAAUCAGAAAGCCACGGCUAACCACGUG